RNAcentral lists this transfer RNA (74 nucleotides) under Thermoplasmata archaeon. RNAcentral describes it as "tRNA-Phe". It matches the Rfam family "tRNA". Rfam says of the family: Transfer RNA (tRNA) molecules are approximately 80 nucleotides in length. Their secondary structure includes four short double-helical elements and three loops (D, anti-codon, and T loops). The record is from RNAcentral. Lineage: Archaea; Methanobacteriati; Thermoplasmatota; Thermoplasmata.
GCCGCGGUAACUCAGUUUGGGAGAGUGUCAGACUGAAGAUCUGAAAGUCGCGUGUUCGAGUCACGCCCGCGGCA